GGUCUUAUGAUGUAAUGGUUAGCACUCUGAACUUUGAUCCGGGUUCAAAUCCCGGUAGGAGCU
RNAcentral lists this transfer RNA (63 nucleotides) under Phytophthora infestans (potato late blight agent). RNAcentral's name for it is "tRNA-Leu". The record is from RNAcentral. Lineage: Eukaryota; Oomycota; Peronosporomycetes; Peronosporales; Peronosporaceae.